UAAAAGUCAGGUCGGAUUAAGCCAUAGUACGGAAAAAACUGUGCUACCUGUGAGCCCCGUCCAAGGACGUUAAAAGAAGUCAGGCCACCACAAAUGCCACGGCUUGAGUAAACCGUGCAGCCUGUAGCUCCACCUGAGGAGGUGUAAAAAACCUGGGAGGCCACAAACCAUGGAAGCUGUACGCAUGGCGUAGUGGACUAGCGGUUAGAGGAGACCCCUCCCUUACAAAUCGCAGCAACAACGGGGG
This 247-nucleotide long non-coding RNA is filed under the name dengue virus type 2. RNAcentral describes it as "Dengue virus type 2 partial sfRNA1". The stretch from base 156 to 227 matches the Rfam family "Flavivirus DB element". Lineage: Riboviria; Orthornavirae; Kitrinoviricota; Flasuviricetes; Amarillovirales; Flaviviridae. The record is from RNAcentral.